RNAcentral lists this transfer RNA (72 nucleotides) under Stegodyphus mimosarum. It matches the Rfam family "tRNA". From Rfam's summary of the family: Transfer RNA (tRNA) molecules are approximately 80 nucleotides in length. Their secondary structure includes four short double-helical elements and three loops (D, anti-codon, and T loops). The record is from Rfam by way of RNAcentral. Lineage: Eukaryota; Metazoa; Arthropoda; Arachnida; Araneae; Eresidae.
GCCUUCGUUGUGUAAUGGUUAGCACACUCGGCGCGUAUUCGGGAGGUCUAGGUUCGAGCCCUGGCGAGGGCA